GACAAACGCUGGCGGCGUGCUUAACACAUGCAAGUCGAACGGGGUGCCUUAGAUUGAGACUUCGGUCAAUUUCUUUGGUUACCUAGUGGCGGACGGGUGAGUAACACGUGAGUAACCUGCCCUUGAGUGGGGAAUAACACACCGAAAGGUGUGCUAAUACCGCAUAACAUAUCGGAAUCGCAUGUUUCUGAUAUCAAAGAUUUAUUGCUCGAAGGAUGGGCUCGCGGCCGAUUAGGUAGUUGGUGAGGUAAUGGCUCACCAAGCCGACGAUCAGUAGCCGGUCUGAGAGGAUGAACGGCCACAUUGGGACUGAGAUACGGCCCAGACUCCUACGGGAGGCAGCAGUGGGGAAUAUUGGGCAAUGGGGGAAACCCUGACCCAGCAACGCCGCGUGAAGGAAGAAGGCCUUCGGGUUGUAAACUUCUUUUACCAGGGACGAACACAAUGACGGUACCUGGAGAAAAAGCAACGGCUAACUACGUG
Molecule: ribosomal RNA, 483 nt
Filed under: uncultured bacterium
Lineage: Bacteria
Description: bacterial SSU rRNA
Rfam family: Bacterial small subunit ribosomal RNA
Source: RNAcentral